RNAcentral lists this ribosomal RNA (552 nucleotides) under uncultured bacterium. RNAcentral's name for it is "bacterial SSU rRNA". It matches the Rfam family "Bacterial small subunit ribosomal RNA", at positions 772 to 1324 of the family's 1533-position model. The record is from RNAcentral.
ACGGAAUAGAUACCCAGGUAGUCCACGCCCUAAACGAUGUCGACUGGUUGUUGGGGGUUUGACACUCUCAGUAAACGAAAGCUAAACGCGUGAAGUCGACCGCCUGGGGAGUACGGCCGCAAGGUUAAAACUCAAAGGAAUUGACGGGGACCCGCACAAGCGGUGGAUUAUGUGGAUUAAUUCGAUGCAACGCGAAAAACCUUACCUACCCUUGACAUGUCCUGAAUCCUGGAGAGAUCCGGGGGUGCCCGAAAGGGAACGGGAACACAGGUGCUGCAUGGCUGUCGUCAGCUCGUGUCGUGAGAUGUUGGGUUAAGUCCCGCAACGAGCGCAACCCUUGUCAUUAGUUGCUACCGCAAGGAGCACUCUAAUGAGACUGCCGGUGACAAACCGGAGGAAGGUGGGGAUGACGUCAAGUCCUCAUGGCCCUUAUGGGUAGGGCUUCACACGUAAUACAAUGGUCGGUACAGAGGGUUGCCAAGCCGCGAGGCGGAGCCAAUCCCAGAAAGCCGAUCGUAGUCCGGAUCGCAGUCUGCAACUCGACUGCGUGAA